UACGGAGGAUCCAAGCGUUAUCCGGAAUCAUUGGGUGUAAAGGGUGCGUAGGCGGAUGCCUAAGUCCGAGGUGAAAUCUUGCCGCUUAACGGUAAAAUUGCAUUGGAUACUGGGUGUCUUGAAUCUGACAGCGGUCGGUGGAAUUCGUGGUGUAGCGGUGAAAUGCAUAGAUAUCACGAAGAACAUUAGUGUCGAAGGCGGCCGGCUGGGUCAGAAUUGACGCUGAGGCACGAAAGCGUGGGUAGCAAACAGG
This 253-nucleotide unclassified non-coding RNA is filed under the name uncultured Bacteroidota bacterium. Its description in RNAcentral is "uncultured Bacteroidetes bacterium contains 16S-23S intergenic spacer region". It matches the Rfam family "Bacterial small subunit ribosomal RNA", at positions 524 to 776 of the family's 1533-position model. Lineage: Bacteria; Pseudomonadati; Bacteroidota. The record is from RNAcentral.